Molecule: ribosomal RNA, 1161 nt
Filed under: Triticum aestivum (bread wheat)
Lineage: Eukaryota; Viridiplantae; Streptophyta; Magnoliopsida; Poales; Poaceae
Description: partial small subunit ribosomal RNA
Source: RNAcentral
AUGUCCGAGACAGAAACGGCGGCGGCGGCGGCGACGUCGACGGAGCGGAAGCCCCGGCGGCUGCGGGGGCACAAGAAGGGCGCCGUCACCUGCUGCGUAGCGUCCUCCGCCCGCCCGGGCGUCGUCGCGUCCUCCGGCGAGGAUGGAUGUCUUUGCUGGUUUGAUUUGCGCACCAAAGAUGUGCUCUUGACCAUUGAGGCAGCAAAUAAACCUAUCUCUUCCAUCUGUUUUAAAUCAGGAAAUGAAGAUCAUGUGUAUGUAUCGGCUGGAAAUGAAAUCUUGUCCUUCGAUAUUCGUAUGGGAUCUCAAUCAAAGCCACUGGAGACAUAUAACUACAAUAGAGAUGAAAUCAACCAGAUUGCUGUGAGUUCUAAAGGCUAUCUUGCUGCUGCAGAUGACAGUGGGGAUGUUAAGAUUGUCAAUACCACUCAAAAGUGCUUGUACAAAAGAUUGAGGGAAGCCCACACAAGUAUUUGCAGCAGUGUACAAUUCAUUCCUUGGAGACCUUGGACAGCAAUUACUGGUGGCCUUGACUCAAAGCUUGCUGUGUGGGAUUUCUCCAAAGGGCGAGCACUAUUUUCUAUUGAUUAUGGAUCACCUGAAUUGCAAAAUAGCAAUUCUUCGGGUAGUACAGGGCAAUGUCUCAACCCUGCUUUCGUUCACUCGGUAGCAGUUUCUGAAGAGGGCAUUUUAGGUGGGUUGUAUAAAGUUUGUGCCGUUGCAAGGGGGGACGGUGUUGUUGAUGUAGUUGAUCUAGAAUAUGAAUUGGCCCCUGCAAAAUCAAAAGGCCCUUCUCGGGCAGGCGGUUUGGCCAUGAGCUCGAAAAGAAACGAUCUUGGGGAUGGGAGCAAUAAUCAAUGCCAAGGGAAAAGGAUCCAUCUUGAUUACUCAAUGGGUGGCCAUACUGCAGCUGUCUCCUGUGUAGCAUUUUCAGCGUUUGGUGAGAAGGGGAAGUUCCUUGUUUCAGGUGGUAACGACGCAUCACUGAAAGUAUGGGAUUGGUCCAAAGGAUUUUCUCCUGAAACAAACAGCAAUAGUGAAUUGGUGUUGGAUAUUGAUGUGAAGAAAAAGGUAAAUUGGUUGUGUACUGCUCCAACUGAUUCAGAUAACCUGAUUGUGUGUGACACAUCCAAGGUGGUCAAAGUAUAUAAUUUCCCAUAG